Molecule: ribosomal RNA, 460 nt
Filed under: uncultured bacterium
Lineage: Bacteria
Description: partial 16S ribosomal RNA
Rfam family: Bacterial small subunit ribosomal RNA
Source: RNAcentral
CCUACGGGGGGCAGCAGUGAGGAAUAUUGGUCAAUGGACGCAAGUCUGAACCAGCCAUGCCGCGUGCAGGAAGACGGCUCUAUGAGUUGUACACUGCUUUUGUACGAGGGUAAACGCAGAUACGCGUAUCUGUCUGAAAGUAUCGUACGAAUAAGGAUCGGCUAACUCCGUGCCAGCAGCCGCGGUAAUACGGAGGAUUCAAGCGUUAUCCGGAUUUAUUGGGUUUAAAGGGUGCGUAGGCGGUCGGAUAAGUUAGAGGUGAAAUCCCGAGGCUCAACUUCGGAAUUGCCUCUGAUACUGUUCGGCUAGAGAGUAGUUGCGGUAGGCGGAAUGUAUGGUGUAGCGGUGAAAUGCUUAGAGAUCAUACAGAACACCGAGUGCGAAGGCAGCUUACCAAGCUACUUCUGACGUUGAGGCACGAAAGCGUGGGGAGCAAACAGGAUUAGAUACCCGGGUAGUC